Molecule: ribosomal RNA, 897 nt
Filed under: uncultured bacterium
Lineage: Bacteria
Description: bacterial SSU rRNA
Rfam family: Bacterial small subunit ribosomal RNA
Source: RNAcentral
GUUUGAUCCUGGCUCAGGAUGAACGCUAGCGGCAGGCUUAACACAUGCAAGUCGAGGGGUAUAGUUCUUCGGAACUAGAGACCGGCGCACGGGUGCGUAACGCGUAUGCAAUCUACCUUUCACAGAGGGAUAGCCCAGAGAAAUUUGGAUUAAUACCUCAUAGUAUGUAUGAAUGGCAUCAUUUAUACAUUAAAGUCACAACGGUGAAAGAUGAGCAUGCGUCCCAUUAGCUAGAUGGUAAGGUAACGGCUUACCAUGGCAACGAUGGGUAGGGGUCCUGAGAGGGAGAUCCCCCACACUGGUACUGAGACACGGACCAGACUCCUACGGGAGGCAGCAGUGAGGAAUAUUGGACAAUGGGCGCAAGCCUGAUCCAGCCAUGCCGCGUGCAGGAUGACGGUCCUAUGGAUUGUAAACUGCUUUUGUACAGGAAGAAACACUGGUUCGUGAACCAGCUUGACGGUACUGUAAGAAUAAGGGUCGGCUAACUCCGUGCCAGCAGCCGCGGUAAUACGGAGGAUCCAAGCGUUAUCCGGAAUCAUUGGGUUUAAAGGGUCCGUAGGCGGUUUAGUAAGUCAGUGGUGAAAGCCCAUCGCUCAACGGUGGAACGGCCAUUGAUACUGCUAAACUUGAAUUAUUAGGAAGUAACUAGAAUAUGUAGUGUAGCGGUGAAAUGCUUAGAGAUUACAUGGAAUACCAAUUGCGAAGGCAGGUUACUACUAAUGGAUUGACGCUGAUGGACGAAAGCGUGGGUAGCGAACAGGAUUAGAUACCCUGGUAGUCCACGCCGUAAACGAUGGAUACUAGCUGUUGGGCGCAAGUUCAGUGGCUAAGCGAAAGUGAUAAGUAUCCCACCUGGGGAGUACGCUCGCAAGAAUGAAACUCAAGGAAUUGACG